GCCUGGGUGGCUCAGUCGGUUGAGCGUCUGACUUCGGCUCAGGUCACGAUCUCGCGGUCCGCGAGUUCGAGCCCCGCGUCGGGCU
Molecule: transfer RNA, 85 nt
Filed under: Felis catus (domestic cat)
Lineage: Eukaryota; Metazoa; Chordata; Mammalia; Carnivora; Felidae
Also listed under: 2 other names
Rfam family: tRNA
About the family: Transfer RNA (tRNA) molecules are approximately 80 nucleotides in length.
Source: Rfam by way of RNAcentral